CAGCAGCCGCGGUAAUGCGUAGGUGGCAAGCGUUGUCCGGAAUUAUUGGGCGUAAAGGGCUCGCAGGCGGUUUCUUAAGUCUGAUGUGAAAGCCCCCGGCUCAACCGGGGAGGGUCAUUGGAAACUGGGAAACUUGAGUGCAGAAGAGGAGAGUGGAAUUCCACGUGUAGCGGUGAAAUGCGUAGAGAUGUGGAGGAACACCAGUGGCGAAGGCGACUCUCUGGUCUGUAACUGACGCUGAGGAGCGAAAGCGUGGGGAGCGAACAGGAUUAGAGACCCGCGUAGUCCCUGUCUCUUAUAC
RNAcentral lists this ribosomal RNA (301 nucleotides) under uncultured bacterium. Its description in RNAcentral is "partial 16S ribosomal RNA". It matches the Rfam family "Bacterial small subunit ribosomal RNA", at positions 509 to 807 of the family's 1533-position model. The record is from RNAcentral.